UACGUAGGGCGCAAGCGUUGUCCGGAAUUAUUGGGCAUAAAGAGCUCGUAGGCGGUUUGUCGCGUCUGCUGUGAAAACCUAAGGCUCAACCUUGGGCUUGCAGUGGGUACGGGCAGACUAGAGUGCGGGUAGGGGUGACUGGAAUUCCUGGUGUAGCGGUGGAAUGCGCAGAUAUCAGGAGGAACACCGAUGGCGAAGGCAGGUCACUGGGCCGCAAACUG
This 221-nucleotide ribosomal RNA is filed under the name uncultured bacterium. RNAcentral describes it as "partial 16S ribosomal RNA". It matches the Rfam family "Bacterial small subunit ribosomal RNA", at positions 524 to 742 of the family's 1533-position model. The record is from RNAcentral.